Taeniopygia guttata (zebra finch) is the source of this 3125-nucleotide non-coding RNA. NCBI's taxonomy places the organism in Eukaryota, Metazoa, Chordata, Aves, Passeriformes, Estrildidae. The record is from RefSeq and is a predicted model, not a curated record.
UCUAAACUCCAGAAUUGUGCUAUCUGUUAAAUGAUUCAUAUUCCUGUAACUCACAUGCUAUUUGAUUCAAAUAUUUGUAGCAUAGAAAUGUAUGUGUGUGCAGUAUAAACAAGAAGAGUGCAUUUUUGUUUCCAAAUAAAAUAGAAAUUCUAUCUGGAAUGCUUGAGACAGCUCUAAACUUGUAGUUCCAAGUAUAGGUUCCUAUUCUAAAUCCAAUUCUGUUCUUUCUGCUAUCCUAAAAUUACCAAUGUUUUUCUCUGUCUUCAAAGAAACUGUAUUAGAAAUUCUAUGAAAAAUCAGUUUAUUUCGCUUGUUACCAAGGGCAGGGAUAUAUAGUCACUAUUAAAAUCACUUUUGUAACUAAUUUUUUUUUGCAAUAAGGGCACCAAUCUAACUACAAAAAUCUGGAGCCACAGAGAGAAAAAUAAAAUUUGUCACUAACAUAUCAUGCUAUUGAAUUAAGGUUGCCUUUCAGUCUGGCUGGAUUGGGAGAUUUUCUGUUCUGGGUAAGGUCUGCAGGAGUCACAGUUUCCUCUACACAUGUUGGAAGUGUUCUUUAGACUGCAAGAGUUGAAUACUGAAAAGCAUCAACAACUACAGAACAGUUUGCAACCUUUGUAAGACUCUGUAGACUGUGAGGAGGAAUACUUACAUUCUUUCAUUUCAUCACUUUGUAUACUUUAGAUCAUUGUAGGUUAAAAGAGAAUAAUUUGGAGAAUUCAAGGAGAACUAUGAUAGUAGGUUUUCUGAAGGGCUCAAACAGUUCCUAAGAGAUUUAAGCAAGCUUAAUUCAAAAUCCGGGUGAAAGGGAAAAGGUAUGGAAGUCACACAGGAUAAAAAUGAAUACUGUAAAUAAUUGUGCCCUCCUUAGCACUUACUAUUAUAGUCUUUGUUUCAGUCUUCAAUUCCUUUACAUGUAGAAAGGGUUGAGACACAUGAAAGGAAAAAUUAUUUUAAUGUUGUUAUUCAGAUAAGCUUCCAAAAAAAGUUGUACUUAUUCCUUCCUUUAUUCAAAACUGUUUUGCCUAAGUUUGACAAUAUAUAAUCCAGCAAAAUACAUGUUGUGAAUAAGUGAAAACAGUUAUUAAGAAUAUGCAUGCCUUAUGUCUAUAUAUCCCUGAAGCCUCCCCUUGAAUGCUGGAAUAAUAUUUCAAAUUAAAGGGCACAAAAAAAAAAAAAAUAAAAUCAAAACACUUUAAGUUUUGUAGUCGUAUUUAUUAAAUAUACUGAGUACAGAAAGUAAACAUGGAACACAUGGGUGAAAGUUCUUCCCAAUGCUUUCAAGUCCAGUAUAAGCAGGACCAUGUAUGUAUCAUACACUAUUUGUCUCAAACUGCUUUCACUAGCCAGGGAAGUUAAAGUCUACUUUUCUUAACCUGUGCAUGUUAGGAUUAGACUGAGAUUGUGUAUUCUUACUCCUUUAAUUAUGUUUUUCAGAUAUCCAUGUGGUCCUCCGCUUGCUGCAUCAUGUAUCAGCUCUACUCCUUUAUCACUUGUAAGUACAAAGCAGAACACAAGGCAAAACUCUGACUACAAUUACCUAAGUUUUGACAGGGUUAUGUUCGAGGCCUCUCAAUUGUUUACAGAUAAUUGAGAUAUUUUGUAAAAUUUAAAUAUAAAUAAUUUCUUGCCUCCAUCAGGAUUUCUGCAAGAGUUCAGAGUGGGGAAAAAAACUGUGGAAAUAUCCACUAAGCAAUUAAAAAAUUCUCCCUGGGACUGAAGUGGGCCAAGAAAGCAAGCAACCACCAUGAUAAGUCAAGUUGGGAGAAACCCUUGCAGGUGUAAUUGUGCACAUUUGAAGACUCAUAGUUCUAGGGACGAAGAUCACCAUAUCUUUAAUAUUUUCUAUUUUUUCUGUAUUAAUAUUUUUGUUUGUUUGUUUUCAGGAGGGGAACAUUGGUAAUUGAUAUAAAGAGAGAAGAUGAUAAAAUGAUGGUGGGGAACAGUGGAUGUGUGUAGAGUUAUAAAUUCACUAAAACUGAUAAUUUUCUUCUCUAGAAACACUCUGCUAACAGAGCAUUAAUGGCAACUAGGUUACGAGAAAAAUUAUUCAAAAGAUAUUUAUUACUAAGCUGCUACUUAAUAAUCUAUUCUAUUCUUAACCUUCUAUUCCUUACUUAGCUGCCUCAAGCACAAGGGGUCUAGGAGAACAUAGAACAUUUUGUAUCACAUAGCACUCACUUGAGCAUGUUGUGUUGGAAAAUAAAAAAAGCAGUGUGACUAAUUUGCUGUCUUUAUGAUCCCAACAAACUGUGUGAACCUUUUUUUUUAUAGGGAGAACAUUAAAAAUUAAUGGAUUUCCUUUCGGAGAUUUGCAGCUCCCAGAACUUUCUAUCCACUUGGAUCCAUACCAUAUGUAAUUCUUCUUGCUUUGUACCCUCAAUUAUAGAAUGGAGAUUCAUGUUUCAGUUAGUCUUUAACUUCUUUACCUGUUUGGCCUUCUUUCUUCCUGACAGGAAUAAAAUAAGUUUGUUCUUUUUUCUGUGACCUUACAUGUAUGAUUUUUUUUCCCCAUUUUAAAGCUUAAAAAGCAAUGUGGUUACACUCUUUUCUGUGUAAGCACAUAUUUAUUGCUUGAGAAGGGCUUGUGUGUCCUAGAUGAUAUUAUCUCUAGCAGUAGCUACUGCAACAUCAGUUUUGUAGGACAGACACGCUAGCUUGUCACUUGUCUUAGCCUGGCAUCCCUUGGGGGUAUUUUGGAUCAUAUUGAUGUUUAUUUCAGGUGCUCAUUCUGAUCAUCUUCAACAAGGUCAUAAAUAACUCAGUUACUCAGCUGUUUUAUUCCUGUUUCAAUUUCAUUCUCUUGCAGAUAAAGUUGUCUCGGUUUUUGGGGUUUUUUUUGUUUUUUUUUUUUAUGCUUUGGCCUUUCUUUUUAAUAUUGUCUUUUUUGCUCUCCUGUAUCAUGCUGGAUUUGUAUACAUUUUUGACAAAACAGAACUGUUUUCCAUUCUCCUAUAUUUCUCCAUAAUUAUACUCUAGUACUAAACAAAUUUGAAAUGUACAAAUAAUGGAUGGAAACCAGCUACAUAAACCCCCUGUGCUGAAAGAUAUUGUACUGUGAAGGACUUUAUUAUUACAUGUAAUUGGAUUCUAACAUUGAAAAUAAAUGUUAAACAUUAAAAGGA